CUGUGUCUCUGAAUGAUGAAUGAAUAAAUGAUGUUCAGCUGUGGUGAGGAUUUGGAGGCCACACCCUUGCCUUUAUCCCUUUCCACUUCUCAUCAAAGAGAACUACCAGUGGGUAGCAUUUCCCUCCCCAAAAACACCGAGACUAAAGGACCAAGAUUAAGCAAGUUGCUUAACCUUUAAGCCCAUUUCUUAGUAUAAGCAUUGCAAUGCCAAAGAAUAUUAAUUCCACUUUAAACAUUAUUUGUUAAAUGUGUGCAAGUUCCUCUGAAAAUACAGCUGAAAAAUCUGUAAAGACUUUGGAGGUUUUAAGGUUACAGCUUUAAGUUAAUAAAAAUGCAAAUAAAAUUGCAGCUGAUCAAAGGGAAAAGCAAUAUCUACUAAUAUUGAAUAUUGAUUUAUAUUAAGCAGUUCGAACUAUUCAAGUGUCAGCUCAGGAUGGCUGUCACUCCACUUUUUGAUUUCCACUAAAACCUUCCUUGUCUCUGUUCAGGAUGGUUUAAAAUACUGAGCACUUCCGUUGCAGAUCUUUAUUUUUCAUUGAUGAAAAGUUCCAAGGCCUGCAAUCCAGUGUGUGCAAAUCUUAGCACAGAGCUCUUUACCCUGAAUUAUUUUAUAAGAAUUUGAAUGAAAACAAAUAAAAGUUCCCAGAAGGAAGUUGAACACUGUCUACACAAUCAGGAGAAUGUUAAUUCUCCCUCUGUAAAUAUUUUUAUUAGUUAUAUUUAACAUUUAAUGUAAAACUUGUUAGAAAUAAAUGUCAAAGACAUACUGCUGCAUUAUAACCACUGAAUGGUUAUUGGAGCAGCUUGGAGAUCAGCUCAAGUGCAACAUAUACUUGAGUGCUUUAUUAUUUGUGGAUUAGAUUUUCCUACAACUUUUUUUAUUUAAUUCUUUUUCAACUCAUUGUGCAAGUGAUGGCACAAACAAUUCAUAUCAUGUUAAUUGCUUUACAAGUGUUCCAAAAGUGAGAUUAACUCAGUAACUCCUGAACUGGAAUUUUUAAAAAAUAUAAUGCAAGACCCUCUAACUGCCAGAAGCAGAAACUAGAUUUUGUGGUGACUGUUUCAGGAUGGAUAAGAAGAGUUAUUUUGCCAUAACAUUUUUGUCAUGAGCUUGACCUUACACUCCAAAGGCUAAGCUCACUGGCAUAAGUUCCAUUUUGCAGCAUCUAUCCAAAAUAGAAUCAUGCAGUGCUAUCAUGGUUGGCAAUUAUUGCUUAUCCCUCGUUGCCUUGAGUGAACUUUCUAAGCCAUACUAGAAGAGCAGUUAAGAAUUUGAGAUUGAUACUAAUGAGGAAAUACCUGGUGUAUUCCAUUAUUUGAGGUUUUAUAGAAGCUCUGAACUGUUGUGUUGGAUAAUGAAACCUGCUCUCCAUAAUAGCGUUGAUGAAGAAUUUGUUAGUGGAAUUACAAAGGUAUACUCUGGUUGACUAGUAAUACAAAAUUAUAACUGAUCAAGUAGAAAUGUAAAAUCUAUUCCUCUUGAAUAUUCAUUGUAUUAAGAGGUGUUAGAACUAUUCAAAUAGGAGUUAGCAAAACACCAAUGACGCAAGGACAGUUCUCCCAUUGAUUCUUACACAAUUUCAUUUUGGAAAGUCCUGGGUUUCCACUAAGCAUGUUCUUCCAUUUGGGUAGAUAGUUUUCUGGAAUUAUGGCAGAAACCUCUGACAUCCACCAGUCAACUGAGGAA
Molecule: non-coding RNA, 1689 nt
Organism: Chiloscyllium plagiosum (whitespotted bambooshark)
Lineage: Eukaryota; Metazoa; Chordata; Chondrichthyes; Orectolobiformes; Hemiscylliidae
Source: RefSeq, a predicted model, not a curated record